This 491-nucleotide ribosomal RNA is filed under the name uncultured bacterium. RNAcentral's name for it is "partial 16S ribosomal RNA". It matches the Rfam family "Bacterial small subunit ribosomal RNA", at positions 29 to 507 of the family's 1533-position model. The record is from RNAcentral.
GUGAACGCUGGCGGUAGGCCUAACACAUGCAAGUCGAACGGCAGCACAGUAAGAGCUUGCUCUUACGGGUGGCGAGUGGCGGACGGGUGAGGAAUACAUCGGAAUCUACUUUUUCGUGGGGGAUAACGUAGGGAAACUUACGCUAAUACCGCAUACGACCUGCGGGUGAAAGCAGGGGAUCUUCGGACCUUGCGCGAUUGAAUGAGCCGAUGUCGGAUUAGCUAGUUGGCGGGGUAAAGGCCCACCAAGGCGACGAUCCGUAGCUGGUCUGAGAGGAUGAUCAGUCACACUGGAACUGAGACACGGUCCAGACUCCUACGGGAGGCAGCAGUGGGGAAUAUUGGACAAUGGGCGCAAGCCUGAUCCAGCCAUACCGCGUGGGUGAAGAAGGCCUUCGGGUUGUAAAGCCCUUUUGUUGGGAAAGAAAAGCAGCAGGUUAAUACCCCGCUGUUCUGACGGUACCCAAAGAAUAAGCACCGGCUAACUUCGUG